Molecule: ribosomal RNA, 773 nt
Filed under: uncultured Neocallimastigales
Lineage: Eukaryota; Fungi; Neocallimastigomycota; Neocallimastigomycetes; Neocallimastigales
Description: partial large subunit ribosomal RNA
Rfam family: Eukaryotic large subunit ribosomal RNA
Source: RNAcentral
UACUAGAGUAGCACUCGCAUAUCAAUAAGCGGAGGAAAAGAAACUAACAAGGAUUCCCCUAGUAACGGCGAGUGAAGCGGGAAGAGCUCAAAUUUGAAAUCUUAAAGGGUUUCCCUUUACGAAUUGUAGUUUAAAGAAGUGUUUUCUGUUGAGGUUUUGGUAAAAGUUCUUUGGAAUAGGACAUCAUAGAGGGUGAGAAUCCCGUAUUUGACCUUUACUUUCAACUUUGUGAUACACUUUCAAAGAGUCGGAUUGUUUGGGAAUGCAGUCCAAAAUGGGUGGUAAAUUUCAUCUAAAGCUAAAUAUUGGCGAGAGACCGAUAGCGAACAAGUACCGUGAGGGAAAGAUGAAAAGAACUUUGAAAAGAGAGUUAAACAGUACGUGAAAUUGUCAAAAGGGAAGCGUUUGACACCAGUGUUGUUUUUCUGAAAAUCAAUUAAAGAACUGUUUAUGCUAAGUUGUUUAGACUAUAUCAGCUAACUGUUUAGUUUUGAGCUUUUCUUUAAUGCACUUUUCAGUUAACAAGUCAACAUCAAUUUCUUUUGCUGUAAAAAAGCUUGAGGAAGGUGGCUUGAGAUUCGUCUUAAGUGUUUAUAGCCUCUUGCCUAUGCAGUCGGAGAGAUUGAGGUCUGCAGCGUAGAUCCUUCGGGGCUAAAUGCAUUUGUGCUAAGUUAUAGCAUUUUAUAGACAACUUGUUGACUAUGAUUUGUCUUGUAGCUUACUCGCUUAUGUUAUUUUACCUACGCUUAGGAUGUGAUAUCGCGCUCUCACUG